This 341-nucleotide ribosomal RNA is filed under the name Ralstonia solanacearum. Its description in RNAcentral is "bacterial SSU rRNA". It matches the Rfam family "Bacterial small subunit ribosomal RNA", at positions 1044 to 1392 of the family's 1533-position model. The record is from RNAcentral. Lineage: Bacteria; Pseudomonadati; Pseudomonadota; Betaproteobacteria; Burkholderiales; Burkholderiaceae.
CAUGGCUGUCGUCAGAUGGGGGAGCUUCUUGGGUUAAGUCCCGCAACGAGCGCAACCCUCUGUUUAAAGAGGGCUACGAAAGGGCACUCUAGAGAGACUGCCGGUGACAAACCGGAGGAAGGUGGGGAUGACGUCAAGUCCUCCUGGCCCUUAUGGGUAGGGCUUCACACGUCAUACAAUGGUGCAUACAGAGGGUUGCCAAGCCGCGAGGUGGAGCUAAUCCCAGAAAAUGCAUCGUAGUCCGGAUCGUAGUCUGCAACUCGACUACGUGAAGCUGGAAUCGCUAGUAAUCGCGGAUCAGCAUGCCGCGGUGAAUACGUUCCCGGGUCUUGUACACACCG